RNAcentral lists this microRNA (21 nucleotides) under Schistosoma japonicum. RNAcentral describes it as "miRNA-3058". The record is from RNAcentral. Lineage: Eukaryota; Metazoa; Platyhelminthes; Trematoda; Strigeidida; Schistosomatidae.
GUACACUCGUCCUUUGGUUAU